UAGAGCGCCACGUGAACCAGGCAGGAGUGCAGGACGACCCCGCGUCCGCAGAAGGCGAUACAGUCACACGGGUAAUGACGACCGGAAGAAAAAAGAAAAAGGUGACGGAGAAUCUUCAUCGGAGGAGGGCGAGAGUUCUCAGACCAAACCGGUCCUGGAGAUUCCUGUCAAACAUCACGCAGAGGACUCCGGCCACACGGACAACUCCUCCGAUGUGGUCGUCGUAGAAGACUUUGAGAAGUGGCCCACCAAAAGAGGGGCGGAGUCAGAAGAAGAAGUUGACGUCAGAGGAGAAUCCGAAAUACGUCCGAACACACCGGCCGAGGAAGAAAGUCAGAGGACUCCAGUGGCCGAGACGGUUUACAUCGUGAGCGAGGAAGACGACGACAACGUGGUUUCCAAAAUCAACUCCUCUGAUCCAGCAAAAU
Non-coding RNA from Labrus bergylta (ballan wrasse), 428 nucleotides. The record is from RefSeq and is a predicted model, not a curated record. NCBI's taxonomy places the organism in Eukaryota, Metazoa, Chordata, Actinopteri, Labriformes, Labridae.